UCUGCCAGGGAAGGCUAGUAAUGCCGGGCCCUAAUAUAGAGGGACACCCGACACCCCCGCCCCCAAGGGGCCUGGGGAGCCCCGCUGCUUCCCCGCCCCCAUCCCUUGGGCGCUGACACCCCAGAGGCCCGCCCCUCCCGGCUGGGCCCAACCCCGAGCAACAUGCCUCGACAAGCCCCGCGCCGAGCUGGAGGCGGCCCGGUGGGGGAAAGGGGGCGCCGGGUCAGGCCCGGGGUGAGCGUGGGGACACCCGGUCCUUCAGGGUCGCCAAGAGAGUUUACGAGCGUCAGUGCCCACAGGCUGCCCCUAGAGGCUGUCUCCCAGGCAGAAGCCUGUUCUUCCCACCCGGGCGGCGGCCAUAAACCCCGGGGUGUGGGAGGCGGGCGGGGAGCAGGGCGCCGGGCUGAACCCCAAUAAACUGCUGGCUGAAUCCAACUGCAAAUCAUUCUUCCUGAUCCGCCUGCUUGCCAGCACUCACUGCUCGUGGGGAUUAAAAGUCAAAGGGCAGAGCUGCUGACGCAAAUGCCAGGGGAGCCGGGCGGUUUGCACAGGGGCCCCCGCGGGGCGCGGAGCGGCUGCAAGGGGCACCCCGCUCGCGCCCGUCCUCGCCGCCCGCCGGGGCCCGGCGAGGAUCCAGUACAAGGCUUGUCCGAAAUCCCCGCGAGGCGGCGCUGCCGAGGCCUGGGAGGCUGCAGAGGGCCGGCUCGGCGUCCUGUCCACCUGCCGGCCCGCACACCCUGGAGCCACGGUCUGUGCGUCGGUGGAUCCCCCCAGUGUCCACAGUAGGCUGGAACCCGGACCUCGGGCUGUGGCUGGGGAGGUGGGGCAGGGGGUGGAGGGGGGCACAGAGAGAGAUUGAGAGAUGUGUGUGUUGGAGGUGGUUGGAGGCAUUUGUGUAUGUACAUGCUGAAUCUGUUUGCUCCAAUUGUGGCUGAUGAUGAGCUUCCUGAGUGCACACUCAUCACCUAGCCCUAAGCCCUGUUUCUAUUAAUAGCUCCGCCUCUGACCUCAGUCCCUCAGGCUCCAUACCUAGCCAGAUGGGACUGGCUAAUGCUCUUGGUAUUGCCCUAGUCAUCUCGGACCCAACCUAGGAGCAUCUUCAAUGAUGGGCCUGGGUGAGGACCGGGUACCAGUUCCAGCCCCUGUGUGAGCCUGGGUGGGUCACUUCUCAACCCAGCUUCCUCAGCUGCACAGUGAGAAUGGGUUGCUGCUGGAAUUUGGUGUCUGCACAACUCCACCACUCCCAGUGACUACUUUAUGAUAAGGGGGUGAAAGACAGAAGCAGAGAAAGAGAGAUGGAGAGGAGAAACAUCUGCAGCAUAGAUUUAUCAUUUCAAAGCUUCCCCGCACCCCCCCCCCCCCCGCCAGGUGUGGAUGGGAGAACUUGAACCCAGGUCCUCACAUGGGGCAAUGUGUGUACUCUAUCAGGUAAACCAUUGCCUGGCCCAGUGCAGAUUUUUUUUCAUCACUUUCUCCUCUCACCCUAUUCACGUGGAAAUGAGAAUGAAGACUUCAUGAUGAGCCACUUAGGGUUUUCUCUAGAACAGUUUCCCCUCAUUUAUUUACUUGUCAGACUACAGCAUAAUGAGAUGUGUUAUGGGAUUAUUUAUGUUAUUGGUAAGGCUUCUGGCCAACAGCCAGCUGUUGGUAGUUAAG
Molecule: long non-coding RNA, 1656 nt
Organism: Erinaceus europaeus (western European hedgehog)
Lineage: Eukaryota; Metazoa; Chordata; Mammalia; Eulipotyphla; Erinaceidae
Exons: 3
Source: RefSeq, a predicted model, not a curated record